RNAcentral lists this ribosomal RNA (434 nucleotides) under uncultured bacterium. RNAcentral describes it as "bacterial SSU rRNA". It matches the Rfam family "Bacterial small subunit ribosomal RNA", at positions 56 to 527 of the family's 1533-position model. The record is from RNAcentral.
UGCAAGUCGACGCGAACGCACCUUCGGGUGUUAGUAGAGUGGCGGACGGGUGAGUAACACUUGGGAAUCUGCCUAGUAGUGGGGGAUAACUCGGGGAAACUCGAGCUAAUACCGCAUACGCCCUACGGGGGAAAGAUUUAUCGCUAUUAGAUGAGCCCAAGUCAGAUUAGCUAGUUGGUAGGGUAAAGGCCUACCAAGGCGACGAUCUGUAGCUGGUCUGAGAGGACGAACAGCCACACUGGGACUGAGACACGGCCCAGACUCCUACGGGAGGCAGCAGUGGGGAAUAUUGGACAAUGGGCGAAAGCCUGAUCCAGCAAUGCCGCGUGUGUGAAGAAGGCCUGCGGGUUGUAAAGCACUUUCAGUUGGGAAGAUGAUGACGUUACCAACAGAAGAAGCACCGGCUAACUCCGUGCCAGCAGCCGCGUAAUACG